Long non-coding RNA from Balaenoptera ricei (Rice's whale), 669 nucleotides. RefSeq lists it as uncharacterized. Lineage: Eukaryota; Metazoa; Chordata; Mammalia; Artiodactyla; Balaenopteridae. The record is from RefSeq and is a predicted model, not a curated record. The transcript is spliced from 3 exons.
AUGGCCGCAGUCUGGAGGGAGGGAGUCUCCAACUCUCAGACAGCUCCUCUUCCUGUCUUUUCUGGUGUACAAGAGCUCAACUGGCCACAUAUUCACAAAUAUCGAACUGUUCCAGAGGGGAAAUUUGGAAAAACAUUAGGAGAGACAUUUUGGAAAGAAGAGAGCACAUGGUGGUGAAAGAAGCACUGACUUCGGAGCCAGAAAAACCUUGGUCUGAAUCCCAUCUCUUACCUUGGACCUAGGUUGUCUUCAACCUCUUGGCAGGAGAUCAGCGCCUGACAGAUCGGGAAAGGCAAUGGGAACCUAAAUCUGUCCAAGGCCACCAGUGGAGUUUCUGGGCUUUAUGGUGCUCCGGUCCUUAAUGGCAGGUGAGCGGGCAAGCAGACCUCAUUAGGAGCCCACCUCUCACACAUGCCUCCAACUGAAAGGCAGGAGCAGCUGGAUCAGGAGGUAAAAGUUUUCUUGCAAAGAGCACUGGAACGAGAGUCAAGAGACCCGGUUUCUGACGAAUAAACUACAAGGAAAGAGCGGGAGAUGUGACGAGUCCAAAGGCUGGAGGUCCUUUCCUGAUGCUACUUAUACCGGGUAUAAGGUCUUGGCUAAGUCACUUCACGACUUUGUGACUGUUUACUCACUUACAAUAAAGAUAGUGACCAUUUACCUACUAUA